RNAcentral lists this unclassified non-coding RNA (469 nucleotides) under uncultured Glomus. RNAcentral describes it as "SSU rRNA". It matches the Rfam family "Eukaryotic small subunit ribosomal RNA", at positions 569 to 1044 of the family's 1831-position model. The record is from RNAcentral. Lineage: Eukaryota; Fungi; Glomeromycota; Glomeromycetes; Glomerales; Glomeraceae.
AGCAGCCGCGGUAAUUCCGGCUCCAAUAGCGUAUAUUAAAGUUGUUGCAGUUAAAAAGCUCGUAGUUGAAUUUCGGGAUCAAUAUGUUGGUCGUGCCUCGGUACGUACUAGCAUAUUGGUUUCUCCUUUCUGAAGAACCAUGAUGUCAUUUAUUUGGUGUCGUGGGGAAUCAGGACUGUUACUUUGAAAAAUUAGAGUGUUUAAAGCAGGCUCACGCUUGAAUACAUUAGCAUGGAAUAAUGAAAUAGGACGUUUUGAUUCUAUUUUGUUGGUUUCUAGGAUCGACGUAAUGAUUAAUAGGGAUAGUUGGGGGCAUUAGUAUUCAAUUGUCAGAGGUGAAAUUCUUGGAUUUAUUGAAGACUAACUACUGCGAAAGCAUUUGCCAAGGAUGUUUUCAUUAAUCAAGAACGAAAGUUAGGGGAUCGAAGACGAUCAGAUACCGUCGUAGUCUUAACCAUAAACUAUGCCG